UCGAAGUGGUGGGGACACGGGUAUAUAAGCAGGCGCCCGAGACGAGACUGGCACUUCAUGCUCAACUGUAUUACAGAAAUUCAUGUACCAGUAUCUACUGUAUUGACAUAAUGAAGAGAAAACGACAAUUGAGUUUAAAAUCAACAAAUGAAUCUCGUGAAGGACAUUCAACCAGAUUCUUCUACGGUAACUCACAGACAAAAAAAUCUGACGAAAAUUUGACAGUUUCUCAAUCACCAACAACUUUAAUGACUGAG
Long non-coding RNA from Leptopilina heterotoma, 257 nucleotides. RefSeq lists it as uncharacterized. The transcript has 3 exons. NCBI's taxonomy places the organism in Eukaryota, Metazoa, Arthropoda, Insecta, Hymenoptera, Figitidae. The record is from RefSeq and is a predicted model, not a curated record.